GUUCCGAGGCGGUGCCGGCUGCGGUGAGGCCCCGCCAUGGCCCCGCUGAAAGUGCACGGCCCCGUGCGGAUGCGCAGCAUGCAGACUGGCAUCACCAAGUGGAAGGAGGGCAGCUUCGAGAUCGUGGAGAAGGAUAACAAAGUCAGCCUGGUGGUCCACUACAACGUGGGGGGCAUCCCCAAGACAUUCCAGCUAAGCCAUAACAUCAAGUCUGUGACCUUACGGCCCAGUGGCAGAAAGCUGUGCUGCCUGAUGCUGACGCUGAAGGAUACCAGCUUCCUGACCAUUGAUAAGGUACCGCUUAAAGACGCGAAUGAGAUGCGGAUGUAUUUGGAUGCGGUCCAUCAAGACAGGCUUCAUACUGCUGGGAAACCCUCUCAGGGAUCUGGCAGCUUUGGAGGUGUGCUGGGCAGCAGGACCACACAGAAGGAAGCUAAUAGGCAAUUCUCUUAUAUAGAGAAUCAGGCUCCUCCCAAAAGGGUGACUGUGGAAACUAAGGAUGAAAAUCCAUUCCGCAAGGUGCUGGGCACCCCAGCUCGGGCAUCUGUUAAGAACUCCAGUGGAACUGGAGCACCUGGCAACAGGGGGAAUGUUGCAGCAUCUCCAGCGUCAUCAGUCGCUCACAGAACAGGCUUGCUGGAGAGCCGUGAAAAGAGGAAAAGAGCACAACCUCCAAGUUCAGAAAUGAGUGAAGAUUAUCCCAAAGAGAAUGAUUCUUCGACGAAUAAUAUAGCUAUGAGUGAUCCAGCAUGGAAAUACUUAAACAGUAGCAGAGAGAAACAGUUAAAACUGAAGCAAGAGGAGGAAAAUAGGACGUCAGGUGUUUUACCGCUGCAGUCGUCAUCCUUUUAUGGUAGCAGGUCCUCAUCAAAAGAGUACUCCACUAGCAGUUCCACCCUGGACAGGUCUAGUGUAUCCAGCCAGACUACUUCAGCCAAAAGAAGCCUGGGAUUUCUUUCUCAACCUGCCCCUCUUUCUGUUAAGAAAAUGAGAUCUAAUCAAGAUUACACAGGGUGGAACAAACCCAGAGUGCCCCUUUCCACCCACCCUCAGCAGCAAUUACAAGGGUUUUCUAACUUAGGAAACACGUGCUAUAUGAAUGCCAUUCUACAGUCCUUGUUUUCAAUCCAAUCCUUUGCUAACGAUUUGCUCAAGCAGGGCAUCCCAUGGAAGAAGAUUCCACUCAAUGCGCUUAUCAGACGUUUUGCCCAUCUCUUGGCGAAAAAGGAUGUCAGCAGCCCUGAGGUUAAGAAGGAGUUGCUCAAGAAGGUGAAAAGUGCCAUUUCAGCUACUGCAGAGAGAUUCUCUGGGUAUAUGCAGAAUGAUGCACAUGAGUUCUUGAGCCAGUGUCUGGACCAGCUGAAAGAGGACAUGGAAAAGUUGAACAAGACUUGGAAGAGUGAACCAGUCCCUAAUGACGAUAGCUCACCUGGGAGGGCUUCUGAUGAUCUUUCAGCUACCAAAGUUUAUACAUGCCCAGUUAUCAGUAACUUAGAGUUUGAGGUUCAGCAUUCUAUCAUUUGUAAAACAUGUGGUGAAACAGUCACCAAACGGGAACAGUUUAAUGACCUCUCCAUUGACCUUCCUCGAAGAAAGAAGUUGUUUCCAUCUCGGUCGAUCCAGGAUUCCCUUGACCUCUUCUUUCGGGCAGAGGAAAUUGAGUAUUCCUGUGAGAAAUGUAAUGGGAAGUCUGCUGUUGUCACACAUAAAUUCAAUCGGCUUCCCAGGGUCCUGAUUCUUCAUCUGAAACGAUACAGCUUCAAUGUAGCAUUGUCUCUCAAUCACAAAGUUGGGCAACAGGUGGUUAUUCCGAGAUACUUAACCCUGCUUUCACACUGUACAGAAAGCACCAGGCUGCCACUGACACUGGGCUGGAGUGCUCAUUCUGCAAUUUCCCGUCCACUGAAAGCCUCCCAAAUGGUGAAUUCCUGUACUAUAAGCACUUCUACACCGAGUAGAAAAUAUACUUUCAAAUCAAAGAGCUCUGCAGCACUCGGUGUGGAUUCAGACAGCGAUGAUGAGCCCCUGAAACGUUCUGUUGCCAAUAGCCAAAGGUUGUGCAACAUACAGAACAGAGAUCAGCAACAACUGCAAGAAGAGCCAGAAAAGAGUUCAAAACGAAGUAAAAUGGAGGGCGAUAAACCUGAGCUGGGCAAUGCUGGUUUUGAUGGCAUGAGUGAAGAUGAGCUGCUAGCAGCUGUCUUAGAGAUCAGCAAAAGGGAAGCUUCUCUGUCUCUGAGCCAUGAUGAGGAUAAGCCCACAAGCAGCCCAGACACUGGGUUUGGAGAUGAUGAAAUUCAGGAGUUGCCUGAAAACCUGGAAACGAUGGAGACAGAAAAACCCAAAGCGCCAUCAGAGUCAGGUCCUGCCAAUUUCACUGAGAUAACUAAAGACUUCGAUGAGAAUAAGGAAAACAAAACUCCGGAAGGCUCCCAGGGAGAGGUUGACUGGCUGCAGCAGUACGAUAUGGAGAGAGAGAGGGAAGAACAAGAACUUCAGCAAGCACUGGCUCAGAGCCUUCAAGAACAAGAGGCACGAGAACAAAAAGAGGAUGAUGACCUUAAGCGAGCUACGGAAUUAAGUCUACAAGAGUUUAACAGCUCUCUCCUGGACAGCGUUGGCUCUGAUGAGGACUCUGGGAAUGAGGAUGUGCUUGACAUGGAGUACUCAGAAGCUGAAGCAGAAGAGCUGAAAAGAAAUGCUGAGACAGGAGAGCUGCCUCACUCCUAUCGCCUCAUCAGCAUUGUCAGCCACAUUGGAAGCACAUCAUCUUCAGGUCACUAUAUCAGCGAUGUCUAUGAUAUCAAGAAGCAGUCCUGGUUCACCUACAAUGAUCUGGAGGUGUCUAGAACUUUAGAAGCCACUGUCCAGUGUGACAGAGACCGGAGUGGCUACAUCUUCUUCUACAUGCACAAGGAUAUCUUCGAUGAAUUACUAGAAACAGAGAAAAGUGCACAGCCACUUAGCGUGGAAGUAGGCAGAUCGAUCCGUCAGCCGCUGUGAGGAGUCCAACACCUCGUACCUCUUGAGGAGCACAGAAAAUCCUGAACUUGUGCCAGACAUGCAGGAGUAACAAACAGCUCAGGGCCAAAACAACAGACACAUGGUAGAAAUACGGAUGCUCACAUUUUGCACAACCAUCUGUGCAAGUCUUCGGCCCGAACCACAGUUGUCAACCUUGACAUCCCGGAGCGAUGCUCCUGUGGUGAAGUUUUUAUUGUUCCUCAAACGAUUUUGUCAGCAUGGAGCCUUAAAGAGUUGCAUCAAGCCACGAGACUACAGCUGCUCACAGACUGAUUUAAAAGGAAAAAUGUGCAAAAAGAGACUCAUCUUCAAAAGCCCAUUCACCGGCCAGAUCUCGGCAGAAUUGUGGUUAAACAUUGACCUGCUCCUGAAUCAGCUUAGGGUAGUCAAAAUGUGAUUCAGCACGCAAACCCAAGGAACUGCCAUCUUGCUUUUCCUCCCUUCCUGCAUUGUAUGACUGCGAUGAUCCACGUUUGCUCCUCUGAUAGAUGUGAGAACGCUCGUGUCGGUGGACCGGAGCCUGUGCAGAGCAAGGACUGACUGGAGCAGCUUCAUGAGGAGCAGGGCUCUGAAGCUUGUGACUGUGCCAUCACCUUCCAUUUCUGCUCAGCACUGAUGAUAAAUGCCUGCUCACCUUCCCUCCCAUCCUGUGCAGCACAGUAACUGGGGUGCGUGUCCAGCACACUGCCCACAGCAGUCAGCGUUGCUGCGCUUCACCCUGACACCAGGCAUGUGGGGACUGUGUGCUGCAGUGAUGGAGGAGUUGAGGAGACUGGGAAGAACUCAACUGUUCUGUUUUCUUUUCAUGGAGCUAAGUAUCCCUGUAACUGCCUGCCAAAGAGAGAUAAAGGAGUGUGGGACCCCAGUGCUGCUGGGGUGCUGAGGGAUGUGCAGCUGAGGACCUGCUGCAGAGCCACCCCAUCCCAGGGUUGAUAUCUGCCUGCUUGCAGCCUGACUUCUGGUUCUUUACACUGUUGAUGUGGAGCAGCUUUUCUCUGUGUUUUAGCAGACCUGUUCCUCUCUUAUUCUUUACAGAUUUUGCUCAUGUUUCCCUCCCCCUGCCUUUUAAACAAUGUGUAGAUAGAUUUUUUUUUUUUUUUUUUUUUUUUUUUGUGAAAUUAAAACCUUUAUUAGCCCUC
RNA transcript from Lagopus leucura (white-tailed ptarmigan), 4163 nucleotides. It is a transcript of the gene named ubiquitin carboxyl-terminal hydrolase 37, with no coding region annotated. The transcript has 24 exons. The record is from RefSeq and is a predicted model, not a curated record. NCBI's taxonomy places the organism in Eukaryota, Metazoa, Chordata, Aves, Galliformes, Phasianidae.